This is a long non-coding RNA of Hibiscus syriacus, 435 nucleotides long. RefSeq lists it as uncharacterized. NCBI's taxonomy places the organism in Eukaryota, Viridiplantae, Streptophyta, Magnoliopsida, Malvales, Malvaceae. The record is from RefSeq and is a predicted model, not a curated record. The transcript is spliced from 3 exons.
UCGAUCUUCAGUGACCUGACGAAGCACCAUCUCUGGGUCAUCUUCGAUCCAGUAUCUAUCCUCCAUACCCGAAGUUGAAUCGGCAGCCAUAAGGUUUAAGGGAAGAAAGCAUCUUCACCACCGUUCUCGCAUCACCUUCGAACACAACAUCAUGGAAACCCAAAUCAACCGUGAAAUCAACAACAUGCACUGCGACUAUCUCUUCAGCCAUGAAGCUUGAGCUUGCAUCGAAAUUAAUUUUAACAUACGGGUGGACUAGAGGCUUUCACUUAGCUGGGAUCUGUUCCACACGACCUAUGGUCCGAGCAUUCGCCUGAGAAUAUUCCAAACAGUGCGACCGUACAAAGGAAACAAAAUCCCUCACUGUUGUACGUUUACAUUCAUGAUAUAGCUUAUUUCGAGCAAACCCCAAAUUAUCACCAAAAUUUAUGCAUG